RNAcentral lists this non-coding RNA (30 nucleotides) under Rattus norvegicus (Norway rat). Lineage: Eukaryota; Metazoa; Chordata; Mammalia; Rodentia; Muridae. The record is from RNAcentral.
GAGAAAGGCAGAAACAAAAAAGGAUGAAUA